Periophthalmus magnuspinnatus is the source of this 100-nucleotide long non-coding RNA. RefSeq lists it as uncharacterized. The record is from RefSeq and is a predicted model, not a curated record. Lineage: Eukaryota; Metazoa; Chordata; Actinopteri; Gobiiformes; Gobiidae. The transcript has 3 exons.
AUGAAGCCAUCUCUUAUCUUCACAGCUUUUUCUACUUACUGCUUCCUUGUGAUAGAUGGGUUUCCAGGCAUAGAUUGCAUUCCAAACAUUAUUGGAUCUG